Molecule: long non-coding RNA, 1637 nt
Organism: Chelonia mydas (Green sea turtle)
Lineage: Eukaryota; Metazoa; Chordata; Testudines; Cheloniidae
Exons: 2
Source: RefSeq, a predicted model, not a curated record
GAGAACGGGCACUGCGGAGCGGAGCCGGCUCCGCGGGCUGGAGGUGGUUUGACGCCAGCUCGCGCUGCUCAGGGGGCUGCUGCCUCGGAGACAAAGGCCUCUAGCUGGUGUGGUCGCUCCCGUCCAGGCUCUGCGGCAGCACCGGCGAUGCUGAAGCACCUCGUCACUGACACAAAGGGGAAAACACAGGCCUGCAAAACUGUAGGGCUCGCUCCUAGAGCCCAGCGAGCCUCUCGCUAAAUCCAGGGCUGGUCACCUGCACUGAACCGUAUUAAAAUGCAUUGAGGAGAAAAUUCACAACUGAGCAUAUGGAGGUGGAGGAACAGCUACUUAUCACCACUCUCGGAGGAUCCUGAAAGAAACAUGGAGCGAGCCAUUUUGAUGCUUUCCUGUUAAUCCUGAUAACAUUGCUGAGGCAGAUAGUAUGCCAUAGCCGUAUGGUAUCAUAUACCAUAGACAGAUUUACAGGUAUGAAUAUGGGCCUUCUCAUCAGUGGAAAUAUCCCAACAGCAUUCCCAUGCUGUCUCCAUUCCAAGACCUGGCCUGAAACCUGACUGGAGAAGAUCAGGAUAUUGACAGUGGAUGGGUGCAAACUCAUUCUCUCUAGUCUAGUGACUCCUUGACCUCUCAACCUUAAACACAGCUAUGAAAAAUCAUCCACUUUCCUACCACAAGGACCAUAGCUAGUGCCUCUGAAUUCCUUUAUAGGCUUCUUCUCACCUUCAGCAUCAGAUUCAGUCCCAUAGUUCUCACCUUCAAAACCCUACAAAAACUUAGUUCCUACCGGUCUCAUCUUGUUUGGCUCCCUACUGUCUACAUGACUGUCUUAAACCUUUUAUUUCCUUCUCCCACUCUUGUCCACUGUUUCUCCUCCUCCACCUCCCCCAGAGUGUUUGAUAUGUUUUAGCUUUGGCUGCAAGUGCUUUGGGACAGGGAAACAGUCUUUCACUUGUAUAUAAACAAACAAGCAGUAUGUUUUGUAUACAUUAGCACUCAAUUAUGCCCCCCCCCCUUUUUUUUAAAUGGGCAAACCCUGGAGAGCUCCUGCAGCCAACAAAAAAAACCUAGGUCCCAUUCACAGCAUAACUACUCUGAACAGAUCAGGUGAUAGCAAUGGAGACCUCACUCACAGUUGCCAUUACAUAACUCAGUUGCCGUUACAUGGCAAUAUGUGCAUUGUGUGGUCUAAUAAGCUCUGAACUCUUGCAUUCAGCCCCAUCCUACAUAAUACUUUGUAUUUACAUAUUGACUUUCAUCAGAAAAAUCUCAGUGUUUUAAAGAGGUGAGGUUUCUUAACUUUAAAAUUUGCUCUGAGUUGCCUUGCUGUACUACAUCAGAUAAUUGUAACAUGUUUUCUUUUAUCACAUAUUUCCAGAAUGAUUAAUAGAGGACAAUCAAGUGGUAACAGAUUGCCAAAAUAAUUAGUCUCUUUAAAAUAUGCUCUGCUAGCACAUUUGUCUUAGAAUGAAUUACUUGUAAUAUUGUACAUCUUAUAUAAAAUUAAAUCUGACAAAUUAACCCUUCUCUGUAAAAUGUAUGUAUACUUUGCUGGUUGCUGCAGUGAUUUGGAUUUAAAUUCCAAAUAUAUACAUUUAUUUUAGUGAGUUUGUGUAUAAAGUAAAAAAUUGUUACACUUC